CUACGUAGGGGGCGAGCGUUGUCCGGAAUGAUUGGGCGUAAAGGGCGCGUAGGCGGCGCGGUAAGUCUGGAGUGAAAGUCCUGCUUUCAAGGUGGGAAUUGCUUUGGAUACUGCCGCGCUUGAGUGCAGGAGAGGUUAUCGGAAUUCCCGGUGUAGCGGUGAAAUGCGUAGAGAUCGGGAGGAACACCAGUGGCGAAGGCGGGUAACUGGACUGCAACUGACGCUGAGGCGCGAAAGUGUGGGGAGCAAACAGGAUUAGAUACCCUGGUAGUCCAUGCCGUAAACGAUGAAUACUAGGUGUAGGGGGUAUCGACUCCCUCUGUGCCGCAGUUAACACAAUAAGUAUUCCGCCUGGGGAGUACGGCCGCAAGGUUGAAACUCAAAUGAAUUGACGGGG
Molecule: ribosomal RNA, 397 nt
Filed under: uncultured bacterium
Lineage: Bacteria
Description: partial 16S ribosomal RNA
Rfam family: Bacterial small subunit ribosomal RNA
Source: RNAcentral